This 253-nucleotide ribosomal RNA is filed under the name uncultured bacterium. Its description in RNAcentral is "partial 16S ribosomal RNA". It matches the Rfam family "Bacterial small subunit ribosomal RNA", at positions 524 to 776 of the family's 1533-position model. The record is from RNAcentral.
UACGUAGGGAGCAAGCGUUGUCCGGAUUUACUGGGUGUAAAGGGUGCGUAGGCGGCCCUGCAAGUCAGAAGUGAAAUCCAUGGGCUUAACCCGUGAACUGCUUUUGAAACUGUAGGGCUUGAAUGAAGUAGAGGCAGGCGGAAUUCCCGGUGUAGCGGUGAAAUGCGUAGAGAUCGGGAGGAACACCAGUGGCGAAGGCGGCCUGCUGGGCUUUAACUGACGCUGAAGCACGAAAGCGUGGGUAGCAAACAGG